RNAcentral lists this ribosomal RNA (1531 nucleotides) under Salmonella enterica subsp. arizonae. RNAcentral's name for it is "bacterial SSU rRNA". It matches the Rfam family "Bacterial small subunit ribosomal RNA". Lineage: Bacteria; Pseudomonadati; Pseudomonadota; Gammaproteobacteria; Enterobacterales; Enterobacteriaceae. The record is from RNAcentral.
AGAGUUUGAUCAUGGCUCAGAUUGAACGCUGGCGGCAGGCCUAACACAUGCAAGUCGAACGGUAACAGGAAGCAGCUUGCUGCUUCGCUGACGAGUGGCGGACGGGUGAGUAAUGUCUGGGAAACUGCCUGAUGGAGGGGGAUAACUACUGGAAACGGUAGCUAAUACCGCAUAAUGUCGCAGGACCAAAGAGGGGGACCUUCGGGCCUCUUGCCAUCAGAUGUGCCCAGAUGGGAUUAGCUUGUUGGUGAGGUAACGGCUCACCAAGGCGACGAUCCCUAGCUGGUCUGAGAGGAUGACCAGCCACACUGGAACUGAGACACGGUCCAGACUCCUACGGGAGGCAGCAGUGGGGAAUAUUGCACAAUGGGCGCAAGCCUGAUGCAGCCAUGCCGCGUGUAUGAAGAAGGCCUUCGGGUUGUAAAGUACUUUCAGCGGGGGAGGAAGGUGUUGUGGUUAAUAACCACAGCAAUUGACGUUACCCGCAGAAGAAGCACCGGCUAACUCCGUGCCAGCAGCCGCGGUAAUACGGAGGGUGCAAGCGUUAAUCGGAAUUACUGGGCGUAAAGCGCACGCAGGCGGUCUGUCAAGUCGGAUGUGAAAUCCCCGGGCUCAACCUGGGAACUGCAUUCGAAACUGGCAGGCUUGAGUCUUGUAGAGGGGGGUAGAAUUCCAGGUGUAGCGGUGAAAUGCGUAGAGAUCUGGAGGAAUACCGGUGGCGAAGGCGGCCCCCUGGACAAAGACUGACGCUCAGGUGCGAAAGCGUGGGGAGCAAACAGGAUUAGAUACCCUGGUAGUCCACGCCGUAAACGAUGUCUACUUGGAGGUUGUGCCCUUGAGGCGUGGCUUCCGGAGCUAACGCGUUAAGUAGACCGCCUGGGGAGUACGGCCGCAAGGUUAAAACUCAAAUGAAUUGACGGGGGCCCGCACAAGCGGUGGAGCAUGUGGUUUAAUUCGAUGCAACGCGAAGAACCUUACCUGGUCUUGACAUCCACAGAACUUUCCAGAGAUGGAUUGGUGCCUUCGGGAACUGUGAGACAGGUGCUGCAUGGCUGUCGUCAGCUCGUGUUGUGAAAUGUUGGGUUAAGUCCCGCAACGAGCGCAACCCUUAUCCUUUGUUGCCAGCGGUCCGGCCGGGAACUCAAAGGAGACUGCCAGUGAUAAACUGGAGGAAGGUGGGGAUGACGUCAAGUCAUCAUGGCCCUUACGACCAGGGCUACACACGUGCUACAAUGGCGCAUACAAAGAGAAGCGACCUCGCGAGAGCAAGCGGACCUCAUAAAGUGCGUCGUAGUCCGGACUGGAGUCUGCAACUCGACUCCAUGAAGUCGGAAUCGCUAGUAAUCGUGGAUCAGAAUGCCACGGUGAAUACGUUCCCGGGCCUUGUACACACCGCCCGUCACACCAUGGGAGUGGGUUGCAAAAGAAGUAGGUAGCUUAACCUUCGGGAGGGCGCUUACCACUUUGUGAUUCAUGACUGGGGUGAAGUCGUAACAAGGUAACCGUAGGGGAACCUGCGGUUGGAUCACCU